ACUUUCCUGUUGAUUAGGCAACGGGUGUGGAAAAUGUUCUCCCAUUGUUCUUGGUCUUCACCCUUGAUUUGCAAGUUGAGGGCACUUUGCAGAACAAGGGUACUACUCUAGUAGGGAGUUCCUACAAUGAUAUGAGACAUAUCGAAGUACCUGUAAGAAGUUAGUGAAAAUAAGACUCUCCCUUAUCUCUGCUCAUGUUUACCUCGUAAUCUCUCAAUUGACAUCUUCUUCUAUCAAGUUGAGCAUUUGGAAUCGAAAUCAUUUAGGUUAGGUC
Molecule: long non-coding RNA, 274 nt
Filed under: Carica papaya (papaya)
Lineage: Eukaryota; Viridiplantae; Streptophyta; Magnoliopsida; Brassicales; Caricaceae
Description: long non-coding RNA (CPAP_LNC012970)
Source: RNAcentral